UGGGCGUUAAGUUGCAGGGUAUAGACCCGAAACCCGGUGAUCUAGCCAUGGGCAGGUUGAAGGUUGGGUAACACUAACUGGAGGACCGAACCGACUAAUGUUGAAAAAUUAGCGGAUGACCUGUGGCUGGGGGUGAAAGGCCAAUCAAACCGGGAGAUAGCUGGUUCUCCCCGAAAGCUAUUUAGGUAGCGCCUCGUGAAUUCAUCUCCGGGGGUAGAGCACUGUUUCGGCUAGGGGGCCAUCCCGGCUUACCAACCCGAUGCAAACUGC
This 270-nucleotide ribosomal RNA is filed under the name Salmonella enterica. RNAcentral's name for it is "partial 23S ribosomal RNA". It matches the Rfam family "Bacterial large subunit ribosomal RNA", at positions 689 to 957 of the family's 2925-position model. Lineage: Bacteria; Pseudomonadati; Pseudomonadota; Gammaproteobacteria; Enterobacterales; Enterobacteriaceae. The record is from RNAcentral.